Molecule: ribosomal RNA, 1233 nt
Filed under: Salipiger sp. PrR007
Lineage: Bacteria; Pseudomonadati; Pseudomonadota; Alphaproteobacteria; Rhodobacterales; Roseobacteraceae
Description: Yangia sp. PrR007 partial 23S ribosomal RNA
Rfam family: Bacterial large subunit ribosomal RNA
Source: RNAcentral
GAUCGGAUCAAGCGCGAGAAGGGCGUUUGGUGGAUGCCUUGGCAGUAAGAGGCGAUGAAGGACGUGAUACUCUGCGAUAAGUCCUGGGGAGCUGAGAAUAAGCUUUGAUCCAGGAAUUUCCGAAUGGGGCAACCCACCUGAAAGUUCGUUAUAAUUGCCUUCGGGCAGCCUAUAACGGGCUUAAACAGGUACUUUUAACCUGAACACAUAGGGUUUUAAGAGCAAACCCGGGGAACUGAAACAUCUAAGUACCCGGAGGAAAGGACAUCAAUAGAGACUCCCCUAGUAGCGGCGAGCGAACGGGGACCAGCCGAGUCCUGAGAGUGAACAGAAUGGUCUGGAAUGGCCAACCACAGCGGGUGACAGUCCCGUAUGUGAAGCUCGAUGGAACGUAUCAAGUAGGGCGGGACACGUGAAAUCCUGUUCGAAGAUCGGAGGACCACCUCCGAAGGCUAAGUACUCCUUACUGACCGAUAGCGAACCAGUACCGUGAGGGAAAGGUGAAAAGCACCCCGACGAGGGGAGUGAAACAGUACCUGAAACCGAACGCCUACAAUCAGUCGGAGGCUCCUCGAGAGCUGACGGCGUACCUUUUGUAUAAUGGGUCAUCGACUUGGUCUAUCUAGCAAGCUUAAGCCGUUAGGUGUAGGCGCAGCGAAAGCGAGUCUUAAUAGGGCGUCGAGUUAGAUGGAUCAGACCCGAAACCGAGUGAUCUAGGCAUGACCAGGAUGAAGGUUAGGUAACACUAACUGGAGGUCCGAACCCACACCUGUUGAAAAAGGUCGGGAUGAGUUGUGCCUAGGGGUGAAAGGCCAAUCAAACUCGGAGAUAGCUGGUUCUCCGCGAAAUCUAUUUAGGUAGAGCGUCAUCCGAAUACCCCUGGGGGUAGAGCACUGGAUGGGUAAUGGGGCCCCACAGGCUUACUGAUCCUAACCAAACUCCGAAUACCAGGGAGUACUAGAUGGCAGACACACUGCGGGUGCUAACGCCCGUAGUGGAGAGGGAAACAACCCUGACCUCCGGCUAAGGCCCCCAAUUCAUGGCUAAGUGGGAAAGCAGGUGGGACGACCAAAACAACCAGGAGGUUGGCUUAGAAGCAGCCAUCCUUUAAAGAUAGCGUAACAGCUCACUGGUCUAAUCAAGUUGUCCUGCGGCGAAGAUGUAACGGGGCUCAAGCCAUGAGCCGAAGCCGAGGAUGCGCAUAGCGCAUGGUAGCGGAGCGUAGUGUGACAU